This 492-nucleotide ribosomal RNA is filed under the name uncultured bacterium. Its description in RNAcentral is "partial 16S ribosomal RNA". It matches the Rfam family "Bacterial small subunit ribosomal RNA", at positions 29 to 507 of the family's 1533-position model. The record is from RNAcentral.
AGUGAACGCUGGCGGUAGGCCUAACACAUGCAAGUCGAACGGCAGCACAGUAAGAGCUUGCUCUUACGGGUGGCGAGUGGCGGACGGGUGAGGAAUACAUCGGAAUCUACUUUUUCGUGGGGGAUAACGUAGGGAAACUUACGCUAAUACCGCAUACGACCUACGGGUGAAAGCAGGGGAUCUUCGGACCUUGCGCGAUUGAAUGAGCCGAUGUCGGAUUAGCUAGUUGGCGGGGUAAAGGCCCACCAAGGCGACGAUCCGUAGCUGGUCUGAGAGGAUGAUCCGCCACACUGGAACUGAGACACGGUCCCGACUCCUACGGGAGGCAGCAGUGGGGAAUAUUGGACAAUGGGCGCAAGCCUGAUCCAGCCAUACCGCGUGGGUGAAGAAGGCCUUCGGGUUGUAAAGCCCUUUUGUUGGGAAAGAAAAGAAGCAGGUUAAUACCCCGCUGUUCUGACGGUACCCAAAGAAUAAGCACCGGCUAACUUCGUG